Long non-coding RNA from Strongylocentrotus purpuratus (purple sea urchin), 193 nucleotides. RefSeq lists it as uncharacterized. The record is from RefSeq and is a predicted model, not a curated record. The transcript is spliced from 2 exons. NCBI's taxonomy places the organism in Eukaryota, Metazoa, Echinodermata, Echinoidea, Camarodonta, Strongylocentrotidae.
GUAUGUUCUGAACUUCCUGCGGAAUCGAACUCUUGGUAUCCUGAAGAUUUUAAGCAACUCCACAUGCUUCUCUUAGAAGCUGAAUUCUACCAAAUAGAACCAAUGUGUGAAGCCAUCCGGGAACUGCUGCAGAAACCCGACCCCGCGGUAAUCGAAGUUGAGGUCCGCUCUUUUCACGAUCAGAACACUUGGA